UACGGAGGGUGCAAGCGUUAUCCGGAUUUACUGGGUUUAAAGGGUGUGUAGGCGGAUAUUUAAGUCAGAGGUGAAAUCUCCGGGCUCAACCCGGAAACUGCCUUUGAUACUAUUUAUCUUGAAUUUCGUUGAGGUUGGCGGAAUAUAUCAUGUAGCGGUGAAAUGCAUAGAUAUGAUAUAGAACACCGAUUGCGUAGGCAGCUGGCUGAACGACGAUUGACGCUGAGGCACGAAAGCGUGGGUAGCGAACAGGAUUAGAAACCCCCGUAGUCC
RNAcentral lists this ribosomal RNA (273 nucleotides) under uncultured bacterium. RNAcentral's name for it is "partial 16S ribosomal RNA". It matches the Rfam family "Bacterial small subunit ribosomal RNA", at positions 524 to 796 of the family's 1533-position model. The record is from RNAcentral.